UGAUGAUGAUGAUGAUGAUGAUGAUGAUGAUGAUGUCAACGAUUUUGCGAUGAUCAUCCACAACAACAAUCCAUAUUUAUCAUCAUCAUCAUCGUAGUCC
This 100-nucleotide microRNA precursor is filed under the name Bigelowiella natans CCMP2755. RNAcentral's name for it is "miRNA EPrBNAG00000013332". Lineage: Eukaryota; Cercozoa; Chlorarachniophyceae. The record is from RNAcentral.